UAAUCCUAUUCAGUUUUA
Molecule: non-coding RNA, 18 nt
Filed under: Mus musculus (house mouse)
Lineage: Eukaryota; Metazoa; Chordata; Mammalia; Rodentia; Muridae
Source: RNAcentral